This 805-nucleotide ribosomal RNA is filed under the name uncultured marine bacterium. RNAcentral's name for it is "bacterial SSU rRNA". It matches the Rfam family "Bacterial small subunit ribosomal RNA", at positions 60 to 870 of the family's 1533-position model. The record is from RNAcentral.
AGUUGAGCGAAGCUUUUCAGUAGUUUACUACAGAAAAUGACUGAGCGGCGAACGGGUGAGUAACGCGUGAGCAAUCUACCUUAGUUACUGGGAUAGCCCGAGGAAACUCGGAUUAAUACCGGAUAUUCUUAUUUUUUCACAUGAAGUUUUAAGGAAAGGUCAGCCGAACUAAGAUGAGCUCGCGUUCUAUCAGCUAGUUGGUGGGGUAAAAGCCUACCAAGGCUACGACGGAUAGCUGGUCUGAGAGGACGAUCAGCCACACUGGGACUGAGACACGGCCCAGACUCCUACGGGAGGCUGCAGCAGGGAAUAUUGCGCAAUGAGCGAAAGCUUGACGCAGCGACACCGCGUGUGGGAUGACGGUUCUAGGAUUGUAAACCACUUUCAGGAGGGAAGAAAAUGACGGUACCUCCACAAGAAGACCCGGCCAACUACGUGCCAGCAGCCGCGGUAAUACGUAGGGGUCAAGCGUUGUCCGGAUUUAUUGGGCGUAAAGAGCUCGUAGGCGGCUCAACAAGUCGGUCGUAAAAGUUUAGGGCUCAACCCUAAAAUGUCGGUCGAUACUGUUGUGACUAGGAUACGGUAGAGGUGAAUGGAAUUCCGAGUGUAGCGGUGAAAUGCGUAGAUAUUCGGAGGAACACCAAUUGCGAAGGCAGUUCACUGGACCGUGAUCGACGCUGAGGAGCGAAAGCUAGGGGAGCAAACAGGAUUAGAUACCCUGGUAGUCCUAGCUGUAAACGAUGGAUACUAGAUGUAGGAACUGGAUUGACGGUUUCUGUAUCGUAGCUAACGCGUUAAGUAUCCC